UGAGAAAUCUGCCCUUCUCAUCGGAAUAAGCGUUGGAAACGACGUCUAAUGCCGAAUACGACCUCCUUUCGCAUGAUCGGAGGUGGAAAGCUCCGGCGGAGAAGGAUGAGCUCGCGGCCUAUCAGCUAGUUGGUGUGGGUAAUGGCCCACCAAGGCGACGACGGGUAGCCGGCCUGAGAGGGUGACCGGCCACACGUGGGACUGAGACCACCGGCCCAGACCUCCGUACGGGAGNAGCG
Molecule: ribosomal RNA, 239 nt
Filed under: uncultured bacterium
Lineage: Bacteria
Description: partial 16S ribosomal RNA
Rfam family: Bacterial small subunit ribosomal RNA
Source: RNAcentral